RNA transcript from Rosa chinensis, 6170 nucleotides. RefSeq lists it as uncharacterized. The transcript is spliced from 9 exons. The record is from RefSeq and is a predicted model, not a curated record. Lineage: Eukaryota; Viridiplantae; Streptophyta; Magnoliopsida; Rosales; Rosaceae.
AUAGUCUUAGCUUUUUGUUCUUUACAUCAAAAAAUUGGAGUGUAAUUGAUGACCACUUGAGAAAAGUUUUUGGUCUUAUUGAAGGGCUUUCUGAGUUUCUCAUGAAGACCACUGAGAUUUUGGGAUGGAUCUUGAGUAUUAGCUCAUUCAAAUCAAGAAGAGAAGUAGGUACUAGCUAGGUAAGGUUUUAGGCUCUGAUCUUUAAGAGAUUCAGAUAUCAGAUCAGAAAAGAAAAACUAGGCUGGGGGUUAGGCUUAGGAGGUGUAAUUAGCUAGUGAAAUAGGCUAAACAAAGUGGAACAAGGUGUUAACCCUAACUAAUAGCACUUUCAUUUCCUCAUUAGGCUUAAAUGAGAGAGCGGUACACUAAAAUAGUAAUCAUCUGAUUUCUCACUGCUCCUCCCUAGCUUCUGCUGAUCUUAGUAGAAACAACUCGGUUGGGAAAAUUCCGAAGCAAUCGGAGGCAAUUUCUGGUGUUUAGCGACAAACACCCAAGCUGAAAACACCUCAAAUCAAACAAGAGAAAUAAGGAAUCGAUGAGAAGAAGAGAAGAAAUUGAAAACCCAAACGAUCCAGACGGAGCUGAAUUGCAUGUAAGGAGCUGCAAAUGACGAGGCGAUACUGAAGCGAAGAAUGGGCUUCCACAGUCCGAUGCUUUUUGGUGUCACUCUGGAAGAAGGGGUUGAGUGUGUUUUUGGGACUCCAGAGUCUCAGUUAAUAGAGUCCCGAGUGAUGCCAAACACGGGAUAAGUCUUGUCAUAUGAGAUAAGCCUAUCCUAUCCCAUCCAGUCCCAUGUAACAAACCAUAGAUAAGUUAUUUCUCAAGUCCCAGUUGGCCAAACAGAAGAUACUGAAAUGGAAGACUCGGCACAAUCCAGAGCAACUCCCACAAUUGAAUUGCAUGGCGAUGAAUUCUGGCCACUUUCAGGGAAACCUUUCUUUGAUAUCAUAUUCACAAAAUCCCAUGUCAAACCCCUUUACCAAAUGGAGAUCCCAGCCAAACUGAAUCCAGUAUUACCCGCUGGUGCUUCAUUUCCUAUGGUUCUCAGCUUUGGGGACAAGAGCUGGGAGAUGAUAUAUAAUGAAACAAAACGUCUUAAAUUAGUGGAUCGACAAUCUUGGAGAGCAUUUGUCGAUGACAACAGUCUGAAGGCUGGAGAUGGAUGUAUUUUCGAACUAACGGGGUGUGACAGUACAAAAGUAGUAUUCAAGGUCCAAAUCCUCAGAGGUGACAUCCCAGCUGAGCUAGUAGAGAAGUACUCCAGCGAGACAGAGAAACCCAUUAUUAUAUAAUGAUGUUUCCUUUCCGUGGAUGUACCAAUUUCCUGACUCAGAAUUGAUCAGGAGCUAAUAUAAUGUAAAGAGCUCAGUAGAGCCUAUUCAGAGUACUGCUACAUUUUAAUAUGUUUAGAGCUAGAGAGGUGACAUCCAAGCUGAGCUUCUAAAGAAGUUCAUCGGUGAGGCAGAGAUCGAGUGAAUUUCUUGUAAUGUAAGGAGAAACUUGUGGAUGAAGAGUCUACUUCAAGUUAUAUAUAACCUCUUAUUAGUUAUAAUUUGUUAGGGAUAACAUCUACUGUCAUUUAUAAUUUAUCUGUGGAAAGAUUGCUUCUACCAGUCUUUAGGAAGAAUUAGAUGGGAUGAUGGGCUAGGGGUUAGGGAUAACAUCUACUGUCCCCAGUAAAAUGAACAAAACUAAGCCCUGAUCACCCUGGUCUAGUGAACCAGGCAUCUUAAGCCUUCAAAAAUAGAUGGUCUCAAAAGUCUGACCAUCAUGAACUAACCAUGGUUAAAUUUUAACCAUAGUAAUUUAACCAUAGUCCAGAUGUUUGUAUUCAUUCGAGACCACCUAGAAAAGUUCAACCAUGGUCCGGAUGUCUAUAUUUAUUCGAUACUACCUGAAACCACCAUGGUCCGGAUGUUUGUAUUCGAGACCCCCUAUACUUUUUCAGUCAGCCUUUUAUCAUAGCACUCUUCUGGCAGUUCUCACUUCUCACCACAGAUCAUAUUCAAAGGUAGUACUAUAUUAAGUCUCAGUUGGCGAGGUAGAAGAUUCUGAAAUGGGAGACUCAUCGGAAUCUUUAUCAACUGCCAUGAUUGAAUUGCUUCCCUGAAAGUGGCCAAAAUUCAUCCUCUGUGCAAUUGAAUCGCAAAGAUGGAUUUUGGCCAUUUCAGGGAAGCUUUUCUUUGGUAUCAUUCACGCAAAAUCACAUUUGAAACCCAUUUGCCUACUGAUCCAUAUGUAAAUAAGGUGGUAUGAUAUCCUUCUGUGUCAUUUUCUUUACUUUUGAUGAGGGUUAGCAUUAUCGUAGUCGCUGGUUCUAUUACUGGACCUUUUUACAAUAUCAUGAGAUAAUGUUUUCUUCAUAAGUACUGCAUGUGAUAAUGCCCUGUUUUUAAUGCAUUUGAAAUUGUCCUGCCGUUUGCUUAGGAAUAUCUUAAAUUAAAACAUGCCAUAUGUUGUGUCUAAAAUAGAAUUAGUUGUGGAUAAUAAUGUUAUAAACAUUGGAUCAAGUUAAGAUUGCACUUAUGUGGAAAAGCAAACAAAGAAGAAUAUGGAGCCUCAAAUUGAUCCCAGUUUCGGUUUAUAUGGUGUAAAUAGGAUUAAGGUAGAUACUCUUCAUAGUCAAGUGGUGCAUUAUUAUCUGGAUCAUGAUACAUUUCUCCUUAUUUAUAAUAUCACGGAGUCCUUAAAAUUGUGAGCAAAAUCAGGUUGAAAGUAAUAAGGAAAACUUAUGGAUGGAGAGAGUUUUCAGUGAGACAUAAUGUCUUGCCUUACAUCUUGUGAGAGGAUAACAUUUACUGUCAAUAGUAGCAUGUAGGAAAUUUUUAGAGGAAAGUUUACCUCUAACAGCAAUGCCAGGAGCCUUGGAUGAUGCAUAUGAUGGUCAAGAAUGGGAUUGAUGGUUCACCAGUUUAGAGAUUAAUUGAAGGUGAUGCUCAAUAUGUUAUGACUGAGGUUGACUUUAGCAAGGAAGGUUCGCUCUUGGAUGAGAUAAGGUUGCUUAUUCAGUAAUUGCAUUCUACGGUUCUACUUGAUGGUGUUUCUCUCUUAGGUGUCGUGUUAAGGUGGCACACCAUUUUGCUAGGAUUGCACUUCAUUUGCAUGAACCUUUGUUGUGUUUAGAAGCUCCAUGGCUUUCAUGUUUUGCUAAUGAUGUUAUUGAGUUUUGAGUUCAAUGGAUUUUAUUCACUUUUUCAUGAUAAAAGAAAAAAUCUUAAGUUGAAUAUUAGAAUUUUGAAAUAUAAUGUAGGGGUUGGCUGCAUACCAGUUUGACAUGACUCGAACUAAAUGAAAAAGUUGAGGGAUUGAGACAUUGAGUGCACCGGUCCUUAGUACUUAUCCUAUACAAACUCUAAUAUGAGAUUAUCUGCUACUACGAAAUAAACAGAAUGAAUUAGUGAGCAAUAAGUAACUCAAUUUAAUUAAAAAGAAAGAAAACAGAACAAGAUCUUUUUCUUACUUUUUUGGCUAAAAUAGAACUUUUAUUUAUCAGAUGGCAAAGCACUUGCCUCUCAGAUCCCAAGUUUCUAUUCUGAUACACAGAACCACCUUCAUUUAAGUACUUACCAUACACCUCUCUACUAUUCGGCAUCUCUAACCAGAAGACCAUCUUCAGAGUUCUCACCUUCGCAGGCAGGAGCGGGGAGAUGACAUGGAAUGGAUCUCACAAAACUAGUAAAAGCUUUGAUAGAAAGUGAUGGAGAAUAUUUAUUGAUGACAACAAUUUGAGGCUUGGACAUGGAUGUGUGUUCGAACUUAUGGAGUGCAGCAUUACAAGACUACUAUUCAGAGUCCAAAUCCUCAGAGGUGACAUCCCAGCUGAACUUAUCAUCUGUGAGGAUGGGGAGAAAGCCAUUGUUUUGUAACAAUAUUGCCUUUUCAGGUAAUUUCUUGGCUGAUUUUCCUGAAAUGGGAGAUCCUGCAAGCCAAUCCUCCUCAUCAGAUCCCACGAUUGAAUUGCAUGGCGAUGAAUUCUGGCCACUUUCAGGGAAACCUUUCUUUGACAUCAUCCUCGCAAAAUCACAUGUCAACCCCAAAUGUCAAAUGUCGAUCCCAUCCAAACUACAUCCACUACUACUGUCCUGUUCAGUCCCUGUGGUUCUCACUUUUGGGGGCAAGACUUGGGAAAUGACAUGCAAUACAGCAAACAAUGCUCAGAAGUUCUUUGAUAGACCGUCGUGGAAAGCAUUUGUUGACGACAACAAUCUGAAGGUCGGAGAUGGGUGUGUGUUCGAACUUACGGAGUGCAGCAGCACAAAGCUGGUAUUUAGAGUCCAAAUUCUCAGAGGUGAAAUCCCAGCUCAACUUCUAGACAAGGACACUCUGGUGGCAAUCAAGUUUGGGAGAACUCUGUUUAUAGGGGGUACGAAGAGCAAAGAACCGUUUUUUGUUUCAUAUAGAAAAGAAUAGCGUUUCAAAUAGAAACGUAGAUCCUUAAGCCCUUCGGACUCGGCACCUCUGAGUGAUCUUCUAAGGUAUUUCUUCGAAUUCGUCUACAUUUUCUGGGUCUGAACUCGUAUGCCUAAACGCCAAUACCUUUGUUCUUUUUCACUUUCACAUUUUCAUUCACCAUGCAUUUUUUGGUGACAACAUGCAUUUGUCCAUUGCAUGAAUGUUAGCCAUGUAAAAGAUAUUAGCUCCCUUCUGUAAUGCGUGAGAUAUUUGCUCUCAAGCUUUGUGGGUUUCAGACUUGAGACAUUGAUGUUUGUGGUUGUUCUGUUUUUGUUUGUUACAUGCACUUUCCUCUGAUAUUCAUAUAGGUAGAAUGCUGGUAGUAUCCGUUUCUCUCUUCAAGAAAGGAUUGUCGUUGUAAUACUAAGAUUAACGACUAGAUAAUGACUCGAAGACUUUCCCCUUUUUCAAGAAAGGAUGUGGUGAUGAUAUAGAUACCACAUUUUUUUUAAGUACAGUCCUACAGGAACCAACCUUGGAAACUUACCAACUGAUUGGUUGCAGAGUAAAAUCUCCGAUUAUCAUUCUAAUGAUCGGGACAAAAAUUCGAAGACAAGCACCUGAUGUCUACCUUUUGUACACAUUUAUAUAGGAAAUUUCAAAAGUUGCCAUGUCGCUUCGAUCCAGCUCAGUUCAGUAAGUUCAGGAAUUUGGUAUAGUGUAGUAUCGAAAAAGUUGCAGCUUCUUUGCUUGUGUUGUUAUCUUCCGAGAGUUGAUGUCAGGGAGAAACGAAUUGGAGGUGAUUCAUUCAUUCUGAGGGAUUCACCUAUUUGGAAAAAUAAAAUAUUUUACAGUAAUGUUGGCACUCAUAAUACCUUGAAUCAUACUUGGACCUAGUGUCAAGAUUUGAUGAACCUAAAGCUACAAAUAGAAAUUGCUUCUUCUCUGAUUAGAUAUGGCUCGAAUGCUGAUCCGCGUUCAGUCAACAGUCAACCGUGUUCAAGAUACUAGGGAAGUUUUGUUGAGCCUAUAUGAUUUCUUGUUGGUCACAGAAGAGUUUUCUACAAAUGUUGUAUUCAAAAAUGCUGCAUUGAUAGGUAGAAUAAUUAUGUGCAGGUUCUGCUGGGUGAAACUCCUGAUUAUAAAGGAGAAACUGACGGUUAUGUUUGUGUUAUGUGAUAAAAACGGAUGUGCCGUAUAGUCUUUUAUUGACAUUAUCCAUGUUUUUGACAUUGAACUUUCUUCGCUUAAGUCAGCUGCUGGGUCAUUCUUCUCAAAACAUGGGCUAAGUUUGUCAAAAUUACGUGCAAAUGGUUCAAUGGACAUAUUAUUAUGAAGAGAAGAUUCAAGGUCUUCAAAGUCUCACCUGGGCCCUUGCUGAGGAAAGAUUGUAGGUUGCAGUCUUAUUCCGCUACUAUCUACUCGAACAGCUUCUUCCACUUGGAUUACAAUGCUCUUCAUAACGUGUUGCGGUGUUGAUAAAUGCCUAUCAUUCAAUUUACUGAUGUUUCACUUUGGAGUAUGGAGUUCUGGAUGCUUAUAUGGUUAAGGUCUCAGAAAUAACUUUAGAUUGGAAAGCUAUAUGGAGUUGAUAUGUGUUGUAAUCUUGACGUCUUUUGCCUUGCUAGUGUAUUCUCUUAGGCUUGACUGAGUACUUCUUGUCCUCUAUUGUACUUUGUUACAGUUUCUUCUCCAAAAAUCAGUGGUCAGUCUGGUAUCGCCAGUCUAAAUAUUGUCAACUAAUGACCAUCAAGGCAUCAACAGACUGUUGAUGCAAU